RNAcentral lists this ribosomal RNA (501 nucleotides) under uncultured bacterium. RNAcentral's name for it is "partial 16S ribosomal RNA". It matches the Rfam family "Bacterial small subunit ribosomal RNA", at positions 30 to 523 of the family's 1533-position model. The record is from RNAcentral.
AUUGAACGCUGGCGGCAGGCUUAACACAUGCAAGUCGAGCGGGGGAAGGUAGCUUGCUACCGGACCUAGCGGCGGACGGGUGAGUAAUGCUUAGGAAUCUGCCUAUUAGUGGGGGACAACAUCUCGAAAGGGAUGCUAAUACCGCAUACGUCCUACGGGAGAAAGCAGGGGAUCUUCGGACCUUGCGCUAAUAGAUGAGCCUAAGUCGGAUUAGCUAGUUGGGGGGGUAAAGGCCUACCAAGGCGACGAUCUGUAGCGGGUCGGAGAGGAUGGUCCGCCACACUGGGGCUGAGACAAGGCCCAGACUCCUACGGGAGGCAGCAGUGGGGAAUAUUGGACAAUGGGGGGAACCCUGAUCCAGCCAUGCCGCGUGUGUGAAGAAGGCCUUAUGGUUGUAAAGCACUUUAAGCGAGGAGGAGGCUACUCUAGUUAAUACCUAGGGAUAGUGGACGUUACUCGCAGAAUAAGCACCGGCUAACUCUGUGCCAGCCGCCGCCGUAA